AAAUAAAAAAAAAUAAAAGAGAGAGAGAGAGAAAAGAAAAAGAUUUUUUUCCUCCUUUUCCUUUUUAAUCAUCGUAUAAAACAGCAUUUCGAACAAGUUUUCUUAACUUACAAAAAAGCUGAGAAAAGACAGGAUAUUGACUCCUGGCACAAAUGAAUAAUUUACGAAACUGGGGUUGCAACCGAAAAAAAUAUCCAGGACAGCUUUUUUGCUUGUCGGAAGUCAGGCCAGAUCAAUAGUCUCCCAUAAAGUUGGGUGGAGCUGUUUUUUUUUUUUUUUUUUUUUUUUUUCCAUUUCUCCCCUAUCCCUCUGCCCCACCUCUUAAAUUUCCAAAGGAGUGAUGGCAUAAGCUUGUCAGUAACUGUGGAAAACAUCUCCAAACCGUGUCAAAAUAGUAAAGUGCGGCAUAUUGUAUGGGCAUAUUAUAGUGUAAGAAAGUGCUGUCGACAGCUUUCAUAUAUCAGAGGUGGGAACUGUUCCAACUAUGACUUACUUACACUUAAGGGUUCAUAAAUACGCCUUUUAAGAUAUAGAUGGCUUUUUAAUUUCAGUAGAUUUUGGAAAAAUGAAGGUGCCAAUAAGAAGCAAGCUGACCUUUUGUGUAUCCUGCAGUAAAUCAUUUAAGGUUCACUUCAAGUAUAGAAAUAUUUCAUUGAAGACUCCUGGAUUCAGAAGAAAAAGAUUGGAAGGAGCCUUGCCUGCUUAUGUGCAAUGAAGGCUUCAGACCAGGUUUUUUGGUUUUGUUUUGUUUUGGGGGGGGUCAUUCCCUUUCUUACAGGAUGCUGAAGAAAGGCGUCAAAAGAGCGCUCGGCAGGGCUGGGGUGGAUGGGAGCUAGAUUUUCCUUCACCUGAAAGAUUCUACCAGGCUUCCCUAUUUCACUCUCUUCUCAACAGCCUAAGACCUAGCAGUGGGGCCUGGGAACCAAGAGGGUUAAGAUCUGCAGGGAUUUUGAUGUCCCCUGCAGAUGCUGAACCAUGGUUAUUUGUGGUUUUAAGCGUAAGGAGUCAUGAUUUAACCCAUCUUUCCAAGUCUAAGCAACAGCUAGUGAACCUGCUAGAGGUCUUAUAAAGUACAUAUAAAAG
RNAcentral lists this long non-coding RNA (1083 nucleotides) under Sus scrofa (pig). Its description in RNAcentral is "lncRNA (ENSSSCG00005016586.1)". The record is from RNAcentral. Lineage: Eukaryota; Metazoa; Chordata; Mammalia; Artiodactyla; Suidae.